GUGCUAUCGAGACUGCACAUAUACUAAAAUUAGAAUGAUACAGAGAAGAUUAGCAUGAUCCCUGUGCAAGGACUUAUAUUGAAUUUUAAAAAAUUACAAAGGAUUC
Small nuclear RNA from Sorex fumeus (smoky shrew), 106 nucleotides. The record is from RefSeq and is a predicted model, not a curated record. NCBI's taxonomy places the organism in Eukaryota, Metazoa, Chordata, Mammalia, Eulipotyphla, Soricidae.